CUUCCUAGAUCAUGGUAGAUCUAUAGUCAGUUUGGACGAAUAUAUCUGUAUCAAUCCAAGUUAUCUAUUCUUUAGAUAUCCCCUAAGAAAUUUCAAAAUUAGACAUUUUCUGUUUCUGUUUUACUUCUUUAUUUUUUUGACUUCUGACAAAUUAGUGCGGCUGCUCAAGCAAAUGCAUUAUGCCUGACUAUUAUGAAUCGAAUCAUAUGCCAAAAUCGCAUUGGUAUACGAUCAUCGCUCUGAUGGUCGUGCUAGUAGUCAUUUUCGUUAUCAUACUCUUCGUAAUGAUAAUCGGAGUGGCCAAAUAUAAAAGCGGUACCAAUGAAAACAGCAGUAGUAGUAGUAGUAAUCCCAAUGCCGUACGUACCACUACAACUUGGGGAGUUAAUCCAGGAGUUAUCGGUGGCGGCCCUGCUGAGAGCGGUGCAGGGCCGGGACUCCCACCGAAUCCGAUUGGAUGAAGAUGCCGGUGGUUUCAAUAAAAAUAAUGUAACAAAUACAUACUAAUUUCUGGAAAUAUUA
Long non-coding RNA from Drosophila pseudoobscura, 522 nucleotides. RefSeq lists it as uncharacterized. The record is from RefSeq and is a predicted model, not a curated record. The transcript is spliced from 2 exons. NCBI's taxonomy places the organism in Eukaryota, Metazoa, Arthropoda, Insecta, Diptera, Drosophilidae.